RNAcentral lists this ribosomal RNA (1119 nucleotides) under Triticum aestivum (bread wheat). Its description in RNAcentral is "partial small subunit ribosomal RNA". The record is from RNAcentral. Lineage: Eukaryota; Viridiplantae; Streptophyta; Magnoliopsida; Poales; Poaceae.
AUGUCCCCGUUCGCCUCCGCCGUGGACGCCGCGCUCGGCGAGGUCGCGCGCCGCGUCGACUUCGGCCUGUCCUGCGACUGCGCCAUCAGCCGCGGCGUCGCCAAGCGGCAGGUGGUCGACAACGCCGGCGUCCGGGAGGGCGCGCACGGGGCCGUGGUGGACACCGCCUUCGCCCGGGACGCGUUCCGCGGCGAGGCGUUCGUCGAGUACCUCUCCGCGCUCGCCGUCGCGCCGCUCGCCGGAGCUGACCGGCUCGAGCUCACCGUCGCCACCGCGCAGCUCAGGGCCUUCACCCGGUGGAGGGGCACCGGAGGCCUCCCCGUGUACACGGUUUGGUACGGCAUCCGCGACGUUGCCGAUGGCGCCAUGGGGGCCACGCCGGCACGCCGUGGCCGCGCCAGUGGCACCGCCAAGAGGCGACGGCCGAGGGGCGACAGUGCCGAUGGCAUAUGGAAGGACUCAAGGUGCAUCACCUGCGGCAGAGCAAGGGAGAGCGUGGAAGACGCCCAGGAGGUGGAGAACUACGAGCCGACCACAAAGAUGGGGAAGCUCAUGCGCAGGGCCGCACGCCGGAUGUCGCUGUCGCCGCCGGUGACCCGCAGAGCCGACCGCGCCACGCCCACUCCUCCGGCGAACGCUGCUGUGGUGACACGGUGCACAAGCGCUGCUGCCGAUCAUGCCGCUCAGCUGCAUGACGUCACCGUCACCACCGCUGCUCCUCCUCCGGCGAAGCCGCAGCACAAGGACGAGCAGCCUCGGCUGACCGGGCUGCUGCUGAACUUCACCGGCCCGACCGCCGUCCCUCCGGCGACCGACCUCGUCGACAUCUUCAGCCGGUUCGGGCCCGUGGUGGAGGCCAGGCCGGAAGGCUUCUCCGUCGCCAUGGUGAUCUUCGAGAGCAGCCUGGACGCCGCGGCGGCGUUCGCGGGCACGGCCAAGAUCGGCGCCCUCAGCCCCAACCUCAUCAGCUUCCGCCUCGCCUACUCGCUGUCCGCUCCCGCCGCGCAGGCCGAUGAUUCUCCGCAGAGCCCCAUGAACGCCGAUGAGAUGGAUCACCUGCUUGAUGAGGCCGAGGGCAUGGAUCUCCUCGACCUCCUCGCAGUCGAAGCUCUUCACUAG